UGCUGCGGCGCCGCCGCCGGCGGCUGCUGUUGAGGAUGAUGCCCUCCAGGUCCAUCCAUUUGCCUAGGAACCAAGAAAUCUUAAUAACUGUUUUGGUGAUUGGGGCCAGCAGAAACCUUCUUCCUGACCUUCUUCUAAGUGACAGUUCCUGCUUCCAGCUUCCUGCCAGGACUUCCUUUAAUGAUGGACUGUAACCUGAAGCUCAAACCCCAAAUGACAUUCCUGCUCUGUUGCUUGUACCCUGGACUGCUCACCGCCUGAGCCUACCUGCCCUUGUGGGGUUGGAGGUGAGGUGUCACAAAGUCAUCAACACAGACUCUGGAAGCAGAGAAGACUCCUGGAAGGAACUGCCCAGCUGAGGACUACACCUUCUUUUUGUUUUGGUACAGAGAGAGACCAGCUGACUGGUUUUCAGAAUGAAAAGAGUCUAGCUGGCAGCCCAAAGAGGUGACUGAGAACUGGCUGUGUAAGAACAGCAGAGCUUCCUGGGAGAAACAGGCUUCAUUUUUCCUGCUUUAAAAAAAAAUAUGCGAGAACUCCAAUGUUCUGGCAAAAUUAAGGAAACCUGCAAUCGGUUGCUUGGGAAAAAGAAACCCAGCAAACCUGUCUGUAGUAAAUUACAUAUGGGGACAAAGCCCCACUGCCUCCCGAGGCUGCCUCCCUCCCUGCUGCCAUCCUUAAGGUAAUGUCUUCAGACUGCACAAGCUGCAUUUCAGAGACCUGCAGUCCAAACUUGACACCUAAGAACUGUGUCCCUUUAAGUAAGUCUCAUGGCUUUUUGUCUGAGUUUCAUGAUAUUAUUUGUAACAUGACAUUAAAUCUGUUUCUUCAUAGUGAUAUGAGAAAUAAACACACUUUCAUCAGC
RNAcentral lists this long non-coding RNA (865 nucleotides) under Mus caroli (Ryukyu mouse). RNAcentral's name for it is "lncRNA (MGP_CAROLIEiJ_G0003664.1)". The record is from RNAcentral. Lineage: Eukaryota; Metazoa; Chordata; Mammalia; Rodentia; Muridae.